CCCCCUUCCGGGAGGCUGGCACAGCUCCUGCCUUGCAGCGGGCCCUGGCUCAGGCCGAUGGUGAGAGUCAGCCAGCGCGGCUCUUCCCUAGCCUGUCCUGCACCGCUCCUGGCUGCCUGUGGGCUCGGAGCUGGCCGACUUGGCCCAGUCCCGCCUCCCCGGACCCCCGGAGCAGGAAGGCUCGGCCAGACCAGUGGGCGCGGUGGCAGGCGAGGCUCGUUUAUUGACAGGUCGCACCCCGUGCCAGCCCGCAACCCUCGCCCGGUGCGGACGGUCACGUGCGGGAGUUCCGCUCCUCGUCUUCGUUCUCUAGCAGCGAGGUGUACCUGGAGCCGCGGCGUGGAAGGCAAGAGCCAGCCCCCUUCCAGUGUGCUGUAAAGCUCCAGCGCCCGGAAGAACCAGGUGUCUAAGCCAGUGUCAGACGGAACUUUCUGUCGUGAUGAGAAUGUUCUCUCCGUGUGCCAUCUAAUACGACAGCCGCUUGGAAUGUGGCCGGUACAACCAAAGAAGAGAUUUUUCUUCCUAUUUCUCCCUCCCUCCCUCCCUUCUCUCCUUCCUUCCACCACCCCCCUGCCACUAGGCAGGGUCUCACUCUAGCUG
This is a long non-coding RNA of Jaculus jaculus (lesser Egyptian jerboa), 600 nucleotides long. RefSeq lists it as uncharacterized. NCBI's taxonomy places the organism in Eukaryota, Metazoa, Chordata, Mammalia, Rodentia, Dipodidae. The transcript is spliced from 3 exons. The record is from RefSeq and is a predicted model, not a curated record.